AACAAGGCGUACCUGCGGACCUGCGGAGGGAUCAUUACAAGUGACCCCGGUCUAGCCACCGGGAUGUUCAUAACCCUUUGUUGUCCGACUCUGUUGCCUCCGGGGCGACCCUGCCUUCGGGCGGGGGCUCCGGGUGGACACUUCAAACUCUUGCGUAACUUUGCAGUCUGAGUAAACUUAAUUAAUAAAUUAAAACUUUCAACAACGGAUCU
RNAcentral lists this unclassified non-coding RNA (212 nucleotides) under soil metagenome. RNAcentral's name for it is "partial contains 5.8S ribosomal RNA, internal transcribed spacer 2, and large subunit ribosomal RNA". The record is from RNAcentral.